AGAAAAUUGAGUUUGAUGAUGGCUCUGAUUGAACGCUAUCCAAGUGGUUGACACAUGCUAAUCGUACGUCAUUAUUUUUAUAAAAUAAUGAAGUGGUGUACAGGUGAGUAAAAUAUUAUGGCUACCUUAAAGAAAGGGAAAAAAAUCCCUUAUAAAGGAAAUAAAACAAAAGUUUUGCUUUAAGAUGUUAAUAAAUAUAUCGGGUAAGUAGUAGAUAAGGUAAUAACUUAACUAGCGACAAAUCCGUAGUCGAGACUGAGAAGUUGAUCGAUCACAUUGGGUCUGAAAAAAGCCCAAUGCGUAUUAGUACAGCAGUGAGGAAUAUUGGUCAAUGGCCUAACGGCUGAACCAGCAACUUGGAAGAAGGAGGAGGUAUUAAAAAUUUUUAAUACUGAAACUAUGUAUGAAAUUCUGGAUAAAUUAAUGAUAAUGACAAUUAUUUAUUUAUAAGUCUUGACCAAAUUACGUGCCAGCAGUCGCGGUAAUACGUAGAAGACUAGUGUUAAUCAUCUUAAAUAGGUUUAAAGGGUACCUAGACGGUAUAUAAACUCCCGAGAGGGUAAUUUUUUACUAGAGUUUAAUAAAAGAAGGGGAGAAUUUUUGGAGUAGAGAUAAAAUUUUUUAAUACCAAAAGGACAUCUAUAGCGUAGGCGACCUUCUAUUAAAAACUGACGUUGAGGGACGAAGGCUUGGGUAGCAAUAAGGAUUAGAUACCCUAGUAGUCUGAGCAGAAAAUUAUGAAUGCCAUAGGUAAAAUAAAAUUUUACUUAUAAAUGAAAGAGAAAGCAUUCCACCUCAAGAGUAAAAUGGCAACGUUGAAACUGAAAUCAUUAGACCGUUAGUGAGAUCAGUAGUGAAGUAUGCUACUUAAUUCGAUAAUCCGCGAAAAAUCUUACCUCUAUUUGUAUAAUAAUUUAUAAUAAAUUAUUACAAGCGCUGCACGGCUGUUUUUAGUUAAUGUCGUGAGAUUUGGUUAUACCUAUAAGUAACGAAAACCCUCCUUUUAUUUAAUUUAAUUUUUUAAUAAUAUAUAAGUUAAAGAAUAUUCAUAGUCCACUUAUAUGGUAAAUUAUUAAAAGAUUAAGAGAUGAAAUGCUCUCGCUAAAAACGGGAUAAUAGGGAUUAAGACAAGUCAUCAUGGCCUUAAUAUAGAGGGCGGUAGGCGUGCUGCAGAUACCUUAAACAAAGGGAUGCUAAAUUGUGAAAUGGAGCUAAUCCUCAAAAUAGGUUAAUAUGGAUUGUAGACUGAAAUUCGACUACAUGAAUAAGGAAUUACUAGUAAUCGUGAAUCACCACGUCACGGUGAAUUUUAUCCUCAGUUAGGUACUAACCACUCGUCAGGCGCUGAAAAAAGUACAUGCAAUAAGUUUGAUUUGUGUUCAUUAAUAUAUAUAUUAUUAUUUAUAUAUAAAUAACAUAUAAUUUUCGUAUGUGUGACUUUAAUUAGUGUUAAGUCGAAAUAUGGUUCGUGUAAUGGAAAUUGCACGGGAUGAAUUAACCUC
RNAcentral lists this ribosomal RNA (1502 nucleotides) under Uncinocarpus reesii 1704. Its description in RNAcentral is "Bacterial small subunit ribosomal RNA". It matches the Rfam family "Bacterial small subunit ribosomal RNA". The record is from Rfam by way of RNAcentral. Lineage: Eukaryota; Fungi; Ascomycota; Eurotiomycetes; Onygenales; Onygenaceae.